GACGGCGCACGGGUGCGUAACGCGUAUGCAAUCUACCUUUUACAGAGGGAUAGCCCAGAGAAAUUUGGAUUAAUACCUCAUAGUAUUUUUCGGAUCGCAUGAUUUGAUUAUUAAAGUUCCAACGGUAAAAGAUGAGUAUGCGUUCCAUUAGCUAGAUGGUAAGGUAACGGCUUACCAUGGCAACGAUGGGUAGGGGUCCUGAGAGGGAGAUCCCCCACACUGGUACUGAGACACGGACCAGACUCCUACGGGAGGCAGCAGUGAGGAAUAUUGGUCAAUGGACGCAAGUCUGAACCAGCCAUGCCGCGUGCAGGAUGACGGUCCUAUGGAUUGUAAACUGCUUUUAUACAGGAAGAAACACACCCUCGUGAGGGUACUUGACGGUACUGUAUGAAUAAGGACCGGCUAACUCCGUG
This 416-nucleotide ribosomal RNA is filed under the name uncultured bacterium. Its description in RNAcentral is "bacterial SSU rRNA". It matches the Rfam family "Bacterial small subunit ribosomal RNA", at positions 94 to 507 of the family's 1533-position model. The record is from RNAcentral.